Molecule: ribosomal RNA, 397 nt
Filed under: uncultured bacterium
Lineage: Bacteria
Description: partial 16S ribosomal RNA
Rfam family: Bacterial small subunit ribosomal RNA
Source: RNAcentral
AUACGUAGGGGGCGAGCGUUGUCCGGAAUGAUUGGGCGUAAAGGGCGCGUAGGCGGCGCGGUAAGUCUGGAGUGAAAGUCCUGCUUUCAAGGUGGGAAUUGCUUUGGAUACUGCCGCGCUUGAGUGCAGGAGAGGUUAUCGGAAUUCCCGGUGUAGCGGUGAAAUGCGUAGAGAUCGGGAGGAACACCAGUGGCGAAGGCGGGUAACUGGACUGCAACUGACGCUGAGGCGCGAAAGUGUGGGGAGCAAACAGGAUUAGAUGCCCUGGUAGUCCACACUGUAAACGAUGAAUGCUAGGUGUAAGAGGUAUCGACCCCUUUUGUGCCGGAGUCAACACAAUAAGCAUUCCGCCUGGGGAGUACGGCCGCAAGGUUGAAACUCAAAUGAAUUGACGGGG